RNAcentral lists this long non-coding RNA (4212 nucleotides) under Fukomys damarensis (Damara mole-rat). Its description in RNAcentral is "lncRNA (ENSFDAG00000026696.1)". The record is from RNAcentral. Lineage: Eukaryota; Metazoa; Chordata; Mammalia; Rodentia; Bathyergidae.
GGCCAGGAAGUCCCGGGAAGUCCCGGGUGCUCACGGGGUAUGCACACACAGGAAGUGACGCAGAGCACACAAAGUUCGGACCAUGAGUGCCCAGCAGGGUUCAGUUCGCUAGGGAGGUGGGGGCAGGCUGCUCAGAGGAGGCGGCUUUGGAUUGGCUACUGAUAGGAGUGAGCGUUUAUGGGAAGUUUGAGCCAUAGUAGUAUAUUGUGCUUAUUAUUUGCACAUUUGCUUAUUAUUAAUGUUUUAUGUACAUCUGGUGCAUUCUCAGAGAGACUGCGAUUGUCUGUUGUAGAGCCCCACCCCCAGCUCGAGCCUGACCCAGGGGUGGCGAGGACGAAGAGACCCAGAAUCGGGUUAAAAUCUAGGGUCCAGGGCGGCCCUUGUCUCCGUUCGACACAGACUGGAGACCUCGGCUUUGUCACUCGGACAAGUUCCUUACGCGGGACUCACCUGUCUCCCUCCCUCCGCUGCACUCCGCCCGGAAACCACGGGAUCUCAACUGUUCUCACUUCUCCUGCGUGUCAGCCGCCCGCCCUCUUUGCUCUCGGCGCUUACGGGGGGCGGGGGCGGCUGGGCCUCAUUCUUCCAUCUGCUCUCCGCCUGUGGGCCACAUCUCCUCCGCUUAGGAAGAAAAUUCUCGCCGUGCUCCACUCGUGUUACCUGUGCUACAGGGCAGGAGGACUCUCUCUGGCUUUGCCCGCAGCCUCAGAUCAACAGUCUUCAGCGCCAUGGCUGCCUGGUCCUCCUGGCCCCAGGCUCUGCUGCUGUGCUCCACGUUAGGGGAUCCCAGGCCCCUCGCUGCUUCCAAGAGGGCAGACCUUUGAAGGCCAGGUGCACCUGCCAUUGUGUGUGGCACUGGGCACGAGUCGACGCUGUUGUGGUCCUGAUGCUCUGGGAGGCUGAGGCAGAAGGAUAGACAGUUUGAGCUCAGCCUGGUCAAAUUAGCAAUCUAGUAAGCUCUGUUUUAUAAAAAGGCUGGGGAGGGAGCUCCACGUAAAGAUCCAGAGCUACCAUCCCAGUAAUGGAAACACCAGUUCUCCAGUCUGGAGAGCUGCUACCAGAUGCUGCUGGUGGAGAGCGCCUUGCUUCCUUUCCUCUCCCCGCAGCAGGCCUCCUUACUCUGAGCCCAGCCCGCCCCAAGUUUCAGACUGUGACACUGGCUUACUCCAGUUAUGCUUUCUCGGUCUCCUGCCAUCCAGCCCUUCCACUCUAGUCCCAGCCUUUAAGAGGUGCCUGUCCUUUUCUACAAGGUCGUGUAGGAAAACUGGUUGCCCAUGUACCAGUGAAGCCAGACUUUUACCUUAGGCCCCAUGAAAUCGUUGCCUCGAAGCGGACCAAAUAUCUAACCAUAAGAGCUGCGUCCACAAAACUUUCAGAAGGAAGACAUAUAGGGAAAGCUUCAUGAAAUUUGGUUUAGGAUUUGGCAGUGAUUUUUUUUAGAUACGACUUCAAAAGCAACAGCGAUAAAGGAAAAAUAAAUUGGAAUCUGCCAGAAUUAAAGCGCAUGUGCCUCAGAGGGUACAAUCAACAGAGAAAGAGGGUAUCCUUGGAAAGAAAGGAAAUAUUUGCAAGUCCAGGGCUUAAUGUCCAAAAGGUCCAAAGAGUCCUAGCACUGAACAGAAACACCAACAACACAGGAUAAAAGUGGGCAAAGGGCUUGACCGGAUAAUUCUCCAGAGAAGGUGAAUGACCGACACGGUGCCUGACAAGACGGUGACGGCACGGAUCCUUGGGGUACAGUAGAAACUACGCCGCCCCACACCCAAACCAACUAACCGGAAACUGUUAACAUCAGCGAGGCUGUGGAAGAAUCAUGACCCUCACACGCUGCGGGUGCAGCGCAAAGUGUUGGAGCCUCGAAGGCAGCUCAUCAGCAGACUUCAAGCAGAAACUUCACAUCCAGCAGCUCCACUUCUGGGAGUCACCGAGUCAGGGGCGGCAGCUCUCUCAGAGAUGCUUGGUGUGCACCUGUUACAGCAUCGUUAUGCACGGUGGCUUGUCCAAGAGUCCAUCCGUGGAGGAACAGAUACAAAUGGGAUACAUACAUGCAACAUCAUCCGCCUGAACAGAGGAAGAGCAUCCUGAUACACGAGUGAGUAUUAAGGGCAUUUUGCUGAGUGAAACUAGUCAGGCUCCGCAUGAUUCCCCUUUUCGCGUGGCACCCAGAGUGACCCAAGUCAGGGGCUGGACGGAAAAGAGGGAAAACGACUCAUUGCUUCCUGGGUGUAGUUUCAGUUCUGCAAGAUGAGGCUGGAGCUACACAACUAUGUGAAUAUACUUAAUACUAAAAAACUGCACAGCAAAAAAUGUUUAAGGUGGUGAAUUCUGUUACAUGUGUUUUGGUACAAAUUACAAAAACAAGAUGUCUAUGCUAUUCAGCUUAUGCCUUUUAGAAUUUAAUCCAAAAGAAGAAAAAUGCAAGGCUUUAUGUGAUUUGUUGGAUUAAUAAAUUACUUCAGUCAUUUUAAUAUAGUUAAUUAAUGACUAGUCUGAUAGAUUCAACGCAGAGCUAAGAAUCUGCUCAGGACAGCCCCUAAGUUAACAGAGUUUUGCAAAGGUGUCUAGGAAAAAUGUAAGGAGCUUCUAAGUCUUAGACUCAGUGUAGUAAGUGCUCAACUUAGGAACCACUUCGGUUCCAGGAAAUUGUUAGUCAGAUUCUUUGGAAAGCUGACAAAGUCCUACGGAGUCCAUCUGUGAAAACUCACAACUCGAAUGUUCGUAAGUCAGAGACUUACUGUACAUGUAUGGUUGUGUAAGAGUGAGACCUAGAGUUUGUGGACGCUAUGGUAUGGCUCUUCAAUGGGUCCGCAAAGGCCCAUAUUUUGGAGGCAGUAGAACCUUCAGGGGGCGGAGCCUAGUACAAGGAGGAGCGCUCCCUGGGGGCGUGGCCCUAAGGGGAUAUUGGGCCCCUGCCUUUUCUGUUUCCUGGCCAGCUUUAUUCUAACACAUUGUCUAACAGAAAGUGCUGCUACCCAGCACAAGGGGGCCAGCCCUCCAUAGACUGAAUCCUCCCAAACCGUGAUCCAAAUCAGUCUUUUUUGUUUGUUUGUUUGGUUGGUUUUUAGUAUGGGGGAUUGAAUUCAGGACCUUGAGCUUGCGAGGCAGGUGGCAGAACCACUGAGCUAAAUCCCCAGUCCGAAAUCGGUCUUUCUCCAUAGAAGUUGAUUAUUGCAGGUUAUUUUUUCACAGCAGUAGAAAGCAUUCUAAAACAAUGGUAAUAGAAUUCUUUUGUGUUUUACGGGUUAAAACAAUUUUUUCUGUUAUAAAAUUAAUGCUAAAAAAGUGGGAAAAUGAAAAACAGUGUAAACCCUGCCAUUCAAAUUCAACCUUAUUUCUUUUCUAGUCAUACAUAUUUUUCCAUGCACAAGUUCAAAAGAUUUAUAGUUCUAACACAUAUGAAUAGUAACCAUUAUUUCAAAAGGUUGCAUAUAUAAAAUAUCACAAGGAAGAGUGUGUAAGAUUUUACUAAAUUGCCACUUAUCUGCUUUUGGAAAAUUAUAGGUUUCCAAAAUGCUUUUCCCCAUUAUGGUAAAUUUUUUUAACAUUAUGGUGUAUUUUCCCUAUUAUGGUAUAAAUUAUUUUUCUCAUAAAGUUUUUAUUUUUGGCUAAUAACAAAAUUUGUCUUGCUCAUACAAGAUACUUAUAGGGUUAUUCACAAUAGCCCAUACAGAAACAAUGCAAGUGUCAAACAACUGAUGAAUGGGGCCUGUGGUAUAUAAACACAGUGGAAUAUUACUCAGUCUUAACAAGGUCAUCCUGCCAUCCUAGGAGGGCAUGGGUAAGUCUGGAGGACGGGUUAGGGUAGGCCCAACAACCCUGGCAUGGACAAGCGCCACUUAUAUGUUGGAUCUGAAAAAGUUCAUUUCAUAGACGCAGAACAAAACACUCCUUGAACUAAAUUUUUAGUCUACCACUCACUGCCAAACCUUGUGAUCUGGAGUUGCCAGAUUUUUAAAAAUCCAGUUAAAGCUGAUUUGCAGUUAGCAGAUUGCCCAGAGGAAUUUGAAUUUCAGAUAAACGAUGGGAACUUUCUUUUUCAGCUUCGGUCCUAGAUACUGCAUGGCCACGGCGGAUGCUGAAGAAACUGUUGGCUGCUCGUCCGCAAUCCAGUUGUAACCGGGAUCUUUUCUGUUUGCUGGGCCGGCGCUCCCGCAGGCCUGUCAGCGGGCGGAACAGGCCCGGGCUGGGCGGGCGGUGGAGGAGGAGAGCGGG